ACGGAGAGGGCUAGACUACAAUUUGCCUUGGUACGACAGUGCAGAAGCUUGCGUGUGGUGCUGAUUCUGCCAGCACAGCACGAACUGGCUCAUCCCUCAGGAACUAACACACGCGGAGAGCAGCACUUAGGAGGCCCCGCUCAGUUCAUCUUCCACACAGGGCAGAUGAUAAUCAGAGCCGGAGAAGCAGGGAGUGGAGAACGCACUGAACAACCACCGCGAAAUUACCAGAACCCAACCUGUCUUCUCCCUGACACACAGCAGUGCCGAUGUGCUCCACCAGAUGGCAGUAGAUCCCCGCGCUUUCCUCCCUUCUCAUUCUGAGCCGCUGCUGAACAAAUAAAGGUUUUAC
Molecule: long non-coding RNA, 352 nt
Filed under: Fukomys damarensis (Damara mole-rat)
Lineage: Eukaryota; Metazoa; Chordata; Mammalia; Rodentia; Bathyergidae
Description: lncRNA (ENSFDAG00000029041.1)
Source: RNAcentral